This 1241-nucleotide ribosomal RNA is filed under the name metagenome. RNAcentral describes it as "bacterial LSU rRNA". It matches the Rfam family "Bacterial large subunit ribosomal RNA", at positions 1564 to 2815 of the family's 2925-position model. The record is from RNAcentral.
UGAGUACGAGAUGCUACGGCGUCGAAGCAGUCUAGGUCAUACUUCCAAGAAAAGCUUGCACUGUCAUAAACAAAGAAUGCCUGUACCAUAACCGACACAGGUGGGUAGGUAGAGUAUACUAAGGGGCGCGAGAUAACUCUCUCUAAGGAACUCGGCAAAAUGACUCCGUAACUUCGGGAGAAGGAGUGCCUUAUUUUUAAGGUUGCAAUAACAAGAUCCAAGCAACUGUUUACCAAAAACACAGGUCUCCGCUAAGUCGUAAGACGAUGUAUGGGGGCUGACGCCUGCCCAGUGCCAGAAGGUUAAAGAAGUUGGUUAGCAUUCGCGAAGCUGAUAACUGAAGCCCUGGUGAACGGCGGCCGUAACUAUAACGGUCCUAAGGUAGCGAAAUUCCUUGUCGGGUAAGUUCCGACCCGCACGAAAGGCGUAAUGAUUUGGAUACUGUCUCGGAGAGGGGCUCGGUGAAAUAGACUUGUCUGUGAAGAUGCGGACUACCUGCACCUGGACAGAAAGACCCUAUGAAGCUUUACUGUAACUUGAGAUUGAAAUUGGACUUUAUUUGCGCAGUAUAGGUGGGAGGCGUUGAGAAUAAUCUUGCGGGAUUAUCGGAGCCAUCAGUGAGAUACCACUCUUGUAAUGUUAGAUUUCUAACUUUGUAUCAUUAUCUGGUCAAAGAACAGUUUCAGGCGGGCAGUUUGACUGGGGCGGUCGCCUCCCAAAGGGUAACGGAGGCGCACAAAGGUUUCCUCUGAACGGGUAGAAAUCGUAUCUAGAGUGUAAAGGCAUAAGGAAGCUUGACUGUGAGACCUACAAGUCGAGCAGGGACGAAAGUCGGUCUUAGUGAUCUGACGGUGCUGAGUGGAAAGGCCGUCACUCAACGGAUAAAAGUUACUCUAGGAUAACAGGCUGAUCUCCCCCAAGAGUUCACAUCGACGGGGAGGUUUGGCACCUCGAUGUCGGCUCAUCGCAUCCUGGGGCGGUAGUACGUCCCAAGGGUUGGGCUGUUCGCCCAUGAAAGCGGUACGCGAGCUGGGUUCAGAACGUCGUGAGACAGUUCGGUCCAUAUCCGGUGUAGGCGUUAGAAUAUUGAAAGGAGCCUUCUCUAGUACGAGAGGACCGAGAAGGACAUACCUCUGGUGUGCCAGUUAUCGUGCCAACGGUAAACGCUGGGUAGCUAUGUAUGGAGUGGAUAACCGCUGAAAGCAUCUAAGUGGGAAGCCCACCUUAAGAUAAGUAUUCUC